ACUCAAAUGAAUAGACGGGGACCCGCACAAGUAGUGGAGCGCCUGGUUUAAUUCGAUGUUUAGCGAAAAAUCUCACCUGGGCUUGAACUGCAGCUGCUAAGCCGAUGAAAGUCGGAAUCCUUCGAGGGUGCUGUAGAGGUGGUGCACGGUUGUCGUCAGCUCGUGUCGUGAGAUGUAGGGUUAAGUCCCACAACGAGCGCAACCCCUACCCAGUGUUAUAUAUUUCUCUGGGGACUGCCUUGCCAAAACGAGGAGGAAGGAGGGGAUGACGUCCAAUCAGCAUGUCCCUUAUGUCCAGGGCUACACAGACGCUACAAUGGCCAGUACAAUGGGCUGCCAAGCCGCAAGGCGGAGCGAAUCCCAUCAAAACUGGCCUCAGUUCAGAUUGCAGGCUGGAACUCGCCUGCAUGAAGUCGGAAUUACUAGUAAUCGCGUAUCAGCAUGGCGCGGUGAAUACGUUCUCGGGUCUUGUACACACCGCCCGU
RNAcentral lists this ribosomal RNA (485 nucleotides) under uncultured bacterium. Its description in RNAcentral is "partial 16S ribosomal RNA". It matches the Rfam family "Bacterial small subunit ribosomal RNA", at positions 899 to 1397 of the family's 1533-position model. The record is from RNAcentral.